Candoia aspera is the source of this 1772-nucleotide long non-coding RNA. RefSeq lists it as uncharacterized. The record is from RefSeq and is a predicted model, not a curated record. The transcript has 3 exons. Lineage: Eukaryota; Metazoa; Chordata; Lepidosauria; Squamata; Candoiidae.
UUCUUUCGGCUUUUGCUUUAAAAUGGCUUUAAUGCCGAGAAGUGCGCUUUGUUUAUGUUUAGCAGGCCUUCCUUUAGAUCUCAGAAGAACCUGCGUGGCUCGCUUGACACCUGUCCAACCAAGCUGGCUAGGCUAGAGCAGGACGCCAGGGCCAGGUUCGGGUUCAACGAUUUAUUUUUCUCAGCCUUGAGCGGAGUUUCUCAACCGUGGCAACUUUAAGAAGUACGCUGGCUGAGGAAUUCUGGGAGUUGAAGUCCACACUUCUUAAAGUUGUCAAGGUUGAGAAACACUGGCCUUGAGUGAGUGGGUGGCACAGAUCAGCAUUUGUGGGCCUGGUGGUGAAGACCACAGCCUAGGAAAGACGGGGACUUGGAAGAGGAGAAAAUGAUAAAAAGGAAAGAAAAGAAAGAAAAAUAGCUGUUCUGGGUGCCUAGGAAACAGAGAGAGAGAGGACAGAUGGAAUUGAUUUGAGCCAAGUGGGUCUGAUGCCGUGGGGAGGAACUGAUGAAUGCACACAGGGAAGUGAAGGUGAAGGUUUGAUUAUGAGCAAAAGGGCUAAAAUGUAUGUCAGGAAGAAGGAGUUGGUGCCAUCUGGGAGGCUGUGGGUAGGUAGCAAAGCAGGAAUCCAUGGGUUGGUGAUAGUUGCGUGUUACACUCAAGCAGGUGGUGACAAGGGAUGAGUUUGGAAGGGAGCUGUGGAAUGUUCUGAAUGAAUGAGAUUCCGGGGGAAAACUCUCCUGGUUCGUGACGUGGAUGGCUGGGCGGGAAGGAGGCAAGAGAAUACAGAAAAGGCGACUGAGCCAUUCGAAGGCCCAAGAGUUCAUGAGAAGGCUGUUUGAUGAACAUCCACGCCGAAAAAGUGUCAUCAACGGAUCUUGGGAAGAAAAGGGAAGAAGUGAAAGAAAUGAACGUGAACAGGAUUGAAAAAGAAAUAGACCAAGAAAUCCAUAAAUAAAUAUUGUAUCCCAUGGAUGGAUGGAGAGAAAAAGACCAUUACAGUACAAGAAACGGUCAAGACUAAAAGAGGUGGAGGAAAACACAAUUUGGAUGGAAAUAAAAAGAACCAUUUUGGGAGUCAAGGAAGACAGGGAUGCUAGUGACAUGCUGAUGAGCAGUGCUGAAAUGAAGGCCGCAGCUGCUAGGAUCCAAGAAAGAAUGAUGAAAAGGAGGUCAUCAAUGCUGUCCGAAUAUCCGGAGGACCAAGUGUGUCCCUGUUCUCCUCCACAAGACUGGGAAGGUAGCAAGCCUGAAUGCGAAAGUUAGGGGGGUAUUUCUUUCUUAAAUGUGUCUGGGAAGGUGUUUGCUUUUGCUGUUCAGGCAGUUACUGAGAAAUACAUGAACAUAAGGUUUAUUGUACAUCUGUGGAUUUAAAGAAAAUGUAAGAUAACAUGAAUUGGCUGCUGAACACAACUGAAUAAAAUCUUGUGUGAGGAUAUAUGGAAUACUUAACUAAUUUUAUGGUACUGAACAGGAAGAAGGACUAGCGGGGUGUGAUGCCUCCUUUGUUGUUUAAUGGAUUUAGGGAUAUAUUGUUGAUGUUAGAGUUGUACUGGUUGGGAAUGUAAAUAUAUGUGUAAAUUAUAUAUAAAUUAUACCAUGUUGUUGGCCGAGAACCUAAAGCACAGCUGGAAUACUGGGUCCAGUUUUGGCCACUGCGAUACAAGAAGGAUGCUAAGCAAUUGGAAAUCAGGCAGAGAAAUGGGGCUGUGAGGGGCUUUGGCAUACUGUUUCUACCUUAUUUUCUAUAUAAUCUCAGAAACCAGUGAAUAAAC